This 445-nucleotide ribosomal RNA is filed under the name uncultured bacterium. Its description in RNAcentral is "partial 16S ribosomal RNA". It matches the Rfam family "Bacterial small subunit ribosomal RNA", at positions 354 to 796 of the family's 1533-position model. The record is from RNAcentral.
GUAGGGAAUAUUGGGCAAUGGAUGCAAGUCUGACCCAGCCAUCCCGCGUGCCGGAAGAAGGCCCUCAGGGUUGUAAACGGCUUUUGACGGUGAAGAAUCGACAGGAUGCGUCCUGUUUUGACGGUAGCCGUUGAAUAAGCACCGGCUAACUCCGUGCCAGCAGCCGCGGUAAUACGGAGGGUGCGAGCGUUGUCCGGAUUUAUUGGGUUUAAAGGGUGCGUAGGCUGGAAGGUCAGUCAGCGGUGAAAAGCUGUCGCUUAACGAUAGUCUUGCCGCAGAUACUUCCUUUCUUGGAUGAGGAGGAGGCCACUGGAACGGAUGGUGUAGUGGUGAAAUGCAUAGAUAUCAUCCAGAACACCGAUUGCGAAGGCAGGUGGCUGUACCUUAAUCGACGCUGAUGCACGAAAGCAUGGGGAGCAAACAGGAUUAGAAACCCGGGUAGUCC